CACUUAUCUCUGUUGGUUUUUUUACAGUAACAUCUAAGUAAACUCCUACCAUCAUUUGUUUUGAAUUUUGACUUAAUGAUUUAUCCCAGGAGCAAAUACCUUCCUCCAAGUACUCUUCACCUUCAAGUCACGGGAGGACACAUGCCUCAAGGUAUUUUAAAGCAGAACAUAUAGGCGAUGUUGACUUGCAUGGAACUGUUAGAGGAAGGAGAUGUUGGAUCGAGCUAAAGUGCAAUGGUAUGGAAUAUGUUAAAUGUCAAAUAUAGCCC
Molecule: long non-coding RNA, 269 nt
Filed under: Fukomys damarensis (Damara mole-rat)
Lineage: Eukaryota; Metazoa; Chordata; Mammalia; Rodentia; Bathyergidae
Description: lncRNA (ENSFDAG00000026093.1)
Source: RNAcentral